GAAGUCUGGUCUUUUGAAAGAGCUAUUUACCACUGAGCUCCCUCUCUAGCCCAAGAUCUGCUAGAGAUUUUUAAGAGAAUACUUUAAAAUAUGAACAAAAAGUAUUGUUUUUGAUUAGUUAUAUUUCUGAAAGAGCUAUCUUACAUCUUGUGAGACUGAGACAUUAAAGAAAAGGGGGGAAUUGAGUGAAAGUUGGGAACAUUCCUGAAAAAAAAUUACAGGAGCUACUGUACCUAUACUUUCUUUAGGUAUUUGUAAAGGUUAUUCCACUGGCACAGUGAGAAAUAAAGGCUAUAGCAUCUAGUGGUCCAGAUCUUGUAAUGGGGUGUAACAUGGGCUUACAUGAAAUUAGCUUACAUCUAGCUACUUCAGAAGAUACACAUUUCUAGAGACAAAGAGGAACUAGAGUCAACUUGAUAAGAAUUUCAUCCCACAUUCCACUCCAUCAAACUGAAUCAUAGAAAAGGAUGAGACCGCGUGUAGCUGGUGGCUGUAUGAACAAGGAAUAGGUGAACCCGAUGGGAGAUAAACAGAGGGAUUAAUGUUUCUGCAUCAAAACACAGAAUUUAGGAGAGCCAACACUACAGCCAGCUAGUGUAAACUGGAGAGUGUGGAUAUAUCUUUCAUUCACAAGCCAAAUAAUUUCUUCAUAUCUUAAGGUAACUUGCUCAUAGGGUAGGGAGGGCAGGAGUCUGGGCUGGGCAUAAAGGGAAGAGCAGGGCCCGCUGUGCCUGCACUUACUUCUGGCACAGAUGUGUUUACUAGCAACCUCAGCUGAAACACUAUGGUGGAGCUCACUGCAGAGGAGAAGGCAGCCAUCACUGCCACGUGGACUAAGGUGAAGGCAGAAGAACUUGGUGUUGAGUCCCUGGAAAGAAUACUGACGGUUUAUCCACACACCAAGAGAUACUUUGACCACUUUGGAGACUUCUCCUUCUGUGCUGCCACUGAAGAUAACCACAAGCUGAAGGCUCUUGGUAAGAAGAUGAUAGAAUCCUUUAGUGAGGACCUGCAAUCCCUGGACAACCUGCACUACACCUUUGCCAGCCUGAGUGAGCUGCACCAUGACAAGCUUCAUAUGGAUCCUGAGAACUUCAAGCUCCUGGGCAGCAUGAUAGUGAUUGUGAUGUCUCCACACUUUGGCAACAGCUUUACUUCAGCACUGCAAGCUGCUUUUGAGAAGGUGGUGGCUGCUGUUGCAGAUGCUAUGGCUUACAAGUAUUACUGAGACCCCUUCUUUCGCAUGGUCAUUGGAAGAUCCUUCUCUAGAAUCCUGUGUUUUGAAGGAUGUGCAACACAAUAGAAGAUCUACAAGGAAAAAGCUGCUCUGUAUUUAUGCAAAUAGUUGGAAGAAAACUCUAUAGAGAUACUAAAGGAAGGCAAAAGAUAGGAUUUGAAAAUUGAAACUGAAGAAGAACGAAGACCAAAGUGUGGACACUUUGCCCCUUCUUAGAAUUGGAAACAAUCAUCCAUGGAA
Molecule: RNA transcript, 1477 nt
Organism: Mus musculus (house mouse)
Lineage: Eukaryota; Metazoa; Chordata; Mammalia; Rodentia; Muridae
Gene: Hbb-bh2
Gene name: hemoglobin beta, bh2
Exons: 4
Source: RefSeq, marked provisional